Molecule: ribosomal RNA, 937 nt
Filed under: uncultured bacterium
Lineage: Bacteria
Description: bacterial SSU rRNA
Rfam family: Bacterial small subunit ribosomal RNA
Source: RNAcentral
AGAGUUUGAUCAUGGCUCAGAAUGAACGCUAGCGGCGUGCUUAACACAUGCAAGUCGUACGAGAACUCUUUAGCUUGCUAAAGAUAGUAAAGUGGCGCACGGGUGAGUAACGCGUGGGUAAUUUACCUCUGAAUUUGGGAUAACUCCGCGAAAGCGGAGCUAAUACCGGAUAAUAUUUCAGGAUCUUCGGGUUUUGAAAUCAAAAGUGGCCUCUACAUGUAAGCUACUGUUUGGAGAUGAGCCCGCGUACCAUUAGCUUGUUGGUAGGGUAAUGGCCUACCAAGGCUACGAUGGUUAGCUGGUCUGAGAGGAUGAUCAGCCACACUGGAACUGACACUCGGUCCAGACUCCUACGGGAGGCAGCAGUGGGGAAUUUUGCGCAAUGGGGGAAACCCUGACGCAGCAACGCCGCGUGAGUGAUGAAGGCUUUCGGGUCGUAAAGCUCUGUCAAGUGGGAAGAACAUGAGAAAUGUUAAUAUCAUUUUUCACUGACGGUACCACUGAAGGAAGCACCGGCUAACUCCGUGCCAGCAGCCGCGGUAAUACGGGGGGUGCAAGCGUUAUUCGGAAUUAUUGGGCGUAAAGGGCGCGUAGGCGGUCUUUUAAGUCAGAUGUGAAAGCCCGGGGCUUAACCCCGGAAGUGCAUUUGAAACUGAAAGACUUGAGUAUGGGAGAGGGAAGUGGAAUUCCUGGUGUAGAGGUGAAAUUCGUAGAUAUCAGGAGGAACACCGGUGGCGAAGGCGACUUCCUGGACCAAUACUGACGCUGAGGCGCGAAGGCGUGGGGAGCAAACAGGAUUAGAUACCCUGGUAGUCCACGCAGUAAACGAUGAACACUAGGUGUAGCGGGUAUUGACCCCUGCUGUGCCGCAGUUAACGCAUUAAGUGUUCCGCCUGGGGAGUACGACCGCAAGGUUAAAACUCAAAUGAAUUGACGG